CGGGUGAGGAUACAUGGGUAACUACCCUCAGUGGGGAAUAACCAGCCGAAAGGUUGGCUAAUACCGCGUACGCUUCCGGAACUGCGGUUACGGAAGGAAAGCGAUACCGUGGGUAUCGCGCUCUUGGAUGGGCUCAUGCCCUAUCAGCUUGUUGGUGAGGUAACGGCUCACCAAGGCUUCGACGGGUAGCUGAUCUGAGAGGAUGAUCAGCCACACUGGACACUGCGACACGGGCCAGACUCCUACGGGAGGCAGCAGUAAGGAAUAUAGCGCAAUGGGCGAAAGCCUGACGCAGCGACGCCGAGUGGGGGAUGAAGGUCUUCGGAUAGUAAAC
This 334-nucleotide ribosomal RNA is filed under the name uncultured Nitrospira sp. RNAcentral describes it as "bacterial SSU rRNA". It matches the Rfam family "Bacterial small subunit ribosomal RNA", at positions 103 to 430 of the family's 1533-position model. The record is from RNAcentral. Lineage: Bacteria; Pseudomonadati; Nitrospirota; Nitrospiria; Nitrospirales; Nitrospiraceae.